RNA transcript from Epinephelus fuscoguttatus (brown-marbled grouper), 1766 nucleotides. It is a transcript of the gene named C-type mannose receptor 2-like, with no coding region annotated. Lineage: Eukaryota; Metazoa; Chordata; Actinopteri; Perciformes; Serranidae. The transcript has 8 exons. The record is from RefSeq and is a predicted model, not a curated record.
AUCGGAGCAGAGUGAAGCCAAGGAGAGCACGAAUUGGAAGAUCACACUGAAAUAUCAGUUUCAUCUAACAGAGCAAAGAUGCAGUGGAGUCUGUUUCUGCUCCUUCUGAUGGGUCAGUGUUCCUUCUUCAUGUGUCACCUCCAUGAGUACCACUUUGUUGAAGAGAAGAAGAACUGGACUGAAGCCCAGCAGUACUGCAGAGAGCAUCACACUGACCUGGCCACAGUGUCUAACAUGACAGACAUGGAGAGACUCCGUGACUCUGCACAGAAUCAAGAUGGAGCCUGGAUUGGGCUUUACAGCACCGCAGGAGAAGACAACAGGAUGUGGCACUGGUCUCUGCCAGGAGUGGAGUUCAAUGAUACUAAUACAAAAUGGGCUCCAGAUGAACCAAAUGAUAAACCAUCUCCUGCAAACUGUGUGUGUAUAUAUGAAAACUCAUGGCGGGACUUCCAUUGUACCAGGCAUAGGCAUGCCUUCAUCUGCUACGAUGAAAGGAGGCAAUCCAACAAGACAUUCCAUCUGAUUAAAGACAAGAUGAGCUGGCCACAGGCUCAGAACUACUGCAGAGAACAUCACACUGACCUGGUCAGUGGAGACCAACAGUUAGAGGACAACGAAUUCAAGACAGAGAUUAAGUCACAGAAGGAGGUGUGGAUCGGCCUGUUCAGAGACUCCUGGAGGUGGUCAGAUGGGAGCAAUUCCUCUUUCAGAUACUGGGAUCUGGAGUCAGAUAACGAUUAUCAUCACAAUAGAUGUGCCAUGAUUAAGUCAAAUGGAAAAUGGAGAGCAGACAAAUGUGACCAUAAAAAACCCUUCUUCUGCUAUAAUGCCUCUGUUUCAGGAACAACCACAAAGAAAGGAACAACAGCAGGUCCCUCAUCAUCCACUGUUACUGAGGACAAGACACAAGAUAAAAUGAUCCUGAUCAAGGAGAACAUGACCUGGGAGGACGCCUUAUAUUACUGCGAAGAGAAACACCAUGACCUGGUCUCCAUCACCAACCCUGACGAGCAGAAACAGGUCCAAGAGAAAGCCAAGAAGGCCAACAGUCCCUACGUCUGGCUGGGACUGCGCUACACCUGCACUCUGGGUUUCUGGUUCUGGAUCGAUGACAAGAUGGUCACCUAUAAGAACUGGGACACAGAUGUACCAGCGGAUGACUGUGACAUGUCUGGAGCCAUGGACAGAGGAGGAGAACAUAAGUGGUUCAAAAAGAAUGACAAUGAGAAGUUUAAUUUCAUCUGUUCUACGUGCCAAACCCUCUAUACUCACUGUUAGCAGGCCUUUGAUUCAUUUACUCACUUUGUUUGCAGUGCUGUGUUACUUUUGGAAACAUUUACACUAUAAGAUGUGUUUGUUGAACGGCAUUCUGGGACAUGUAGUAAUCCCAACCUGAGGGGGAGAGAUGUGAAAUCACCAGCAGACUUUUUAACAGCAGAUUUAAAUAGAGAGAAAGUAGCUACAUUGAAGUCAGUUUCAAAGCAGCAUCAGAUUACUGAGGAUGUGACCCUGUGAUGGGUUUUUCUGUCUCUUUAUUCUGAUUCAACAACACCUGAGUUAUCAAUAUUUGUCAUUUUCUGAGCUUGUUGUUGUUAUAUUUUAUUUCUCUAUCUUUAAUUCAUCUUUUGAGGUUGUAUUUAGUUUUCUGUAUAAUUCACAGUGUGUAUGGUCGACAUCUUUAUGGUAGGAACUGGAAUGAAUACACCAGUCUACAGUGUACUGGUUUGAUUUUGCUCUCAUGUAUUCAAAUGUGGAACAUUUUA